This is a long non-coding RNA of Herpailurus yagouaroundi (jaguarundi), 3699 nucleotides long. RefSeq lists it as uncharacterized. The transcript is spliced from 3 exons. The record is from RefSeq and is a predicted model, not a curated record. Lineage: Eukaryota; Metazoa; Chordata; Mammalia; Carnivora; Felidae.
GAGGGAGGAGGUGAGGCUCUGAGGGAGGGGAAGAAGGUCUGAAGGAGGAGGCCCUGUCUGAGGAAGUCUGAGAAGGACCAAGUGAGGAAAGCAGCUCAGAGGGAGGAGGAGAGAGUUGGCUGGCGCGGGGCGGGGGGUGGGGGGUGGGUUGUGAUGGAGGAAGAGGUUUGAGGGUGAGGACAUGAGGGUCUGAGGACGGAGAGCAUGGUCUGAGGGAGGAGGAGCAGUUUGAGGAGGGCCUCCUUGGGACACAGGGAAGAGAGGCGUGCUUGGGACCAAGCAGCGACUGAGGGAAGGGAAGAGAAGGGAGGCCUGGAGUCAGCCCCGCCCUGCAGCUGUCUAAUUUCCCAGAAUCUUCUACUGCUCAGGAAAGUCCCAGCUCCCACAGCCGCCUCCCUCCAGUGUCGGGAAUGGAGGAUGCGGAAGCAGGACGGCUGCCCCCUCCUUUUCCCCCUGGCUCCCAGCACCCCAGGCUGGGAGGACUAGGGUCUCCCCUCUCUGCGCUUGAGCUCCGGAGGUCCCCUGCCGGCAGGGGGCAGCCCCUGGAUGAGUCCCAGAAAGUUCCCAGAGAGAGCCCGGAAGUCCUGCGUGGUGUCUAACCACUUUCCCUCGCGCAGGCUGCCUUUUGUAUCCGUGCAAAUCUUUCCUUCCCUUCUACCCCUACCCCCAGGGAAGGAAGGGCUGAGCCCGUCCAAGGUCCCGAGAAGGAAACGAAGGCCUGGCUGGAAGGCUGUGGGCCUUGGGGCACUUCCUCGCUCUUGGGGGCCUUCCAAGAGGGGAGGAUAGUGCUUGUUAGAUACUAGAUUCCCAUCGGCUUAAUUCCUGGGCCUUUUUCUGUUCCAAGUUUUGCUCCCAACUGAGGCCCGAGCUUCUGGUUUCAUCAGCUGUGUGGCUUCCUGGCCAUUACUGAACUUCGUGGAGCCUCAACUUCCCCACCUACCAGGCAGACUAAAUCGAGACCCUAAUGCUUCCGUCCUCUAGGGCCCGAUGGAUAGGAAGUGCUAAAGGCAGUGUGGCUGCAAUUAUUAUGAUCCCUGUUAUAACCGCAGGAGCAACGGUGAUAAUUAUUCCUAUCCAGGAACCUAACGUUUCAACAGCUGGGCCCAUUUCAUUGAGGAAAUUGGGACCCAACAUGCUGGGCCUGGAAGAUACGGGUUUGAGGCCGGGUUCUGCCAUGUGUCGGCUGUGUGUGACUUUGGAUAGGUGGCUUUCCCUCUCUGUGCCUUUGUUGGUGACUUUACUGUUGGGGAUCAUAACAGCUCCUGCCUCACAGGGUUGCAGAGCAGAUUGAGACCACGUGUACAGAAUGAAUAGCUGAAUGAAUGAAUGAAUGAAUGAAUGAACGGUGUCCCUUCUUGCCUCCAUGUUGCCUGCCUUAACUCAUCGGGCCAGGCCUUCCCUGUAACCCUCUCCGCCCAGAGAUAAAGCAAGAUGGGCCCAUUCGCCCUGGGCUGAACUCCCAUGAAGAAUUGGCCCAUGUAAUCCUCUUGACAUCUCGUGAGGAAAUCCAGCUGCAACUCCCAUUUUACAGAGACACAACAGAGGAGCGGAGUCCCUGCUCAGGGUCAUCAAGAUUUUAUGCCAGGUCUCUGUGUCCCCCGCAGCCCGGCUGCUGGGGCAAUCGGUCCCCGAGACCACAGGCCUUCCCUCUCCUGUCUAACUCCAGACCCCUAUCCCCUAAGAAGGGAAUGGCUCAGGAGGGGAAAACUCAGGCACAAAGAGGCAAAGUCACGGCCAGAGCUUAGCAGGUCUACAGUCUGUCUGCAGGCUCCAGGCACAGGGAGGGUCGAGCUGAUGGAGGGAAGGUCGCGUCGCAGCAGGAAGGUAUAGAUUUAGAUUGAAGAGAGGGUUCCGGGAAAGCGAGCAGAUUGCACAGACAGAGGAGAACAGACCUGAGCCUGGAGCUGGGGGGCCCUGCCCAAGGUCACACAGCUUUGGGCUGCGAUUCCACCCUGGGUUUGCGGACUGCCCUGCUCCCAGAGGCUGCCCUUCCCCCCACCCCCCAGGAGUGAAUACAGGCCAGCUUCCUGCAGCCAUGGCCUGUACCUCCUGGUUCCUCCCCACCCUGGGGCCUUGGCAGCUUCUGGAACCCCUGGCACCAAGCAGGAUCGGCCCUUCUGGGGCCUUGGCCAAGACUUGGUCUUCCCCUUUCUCCCUCUUGCUGGGUCUGCACGCACGACGCUGAGUCAGAGGAUUGCAACAUCCUCUCCUCGGGCUUUGAGACCAGACAUCCUCUGCCCCGUGCACUGCCUCUAUCGGGCCAAGAUAUGGGAGUGGCAGAGGCUGCUUGGAUCUCUCAAGAAAAGACAUGCGGCGUGGCUGCCCCGCGUGCAGAUGGCUGGCUGAGAGCCUCCCACAGUUGGUUCCUUCAGGUUCUGCCUCAGCUCGCCAGUCGGGGACACCAGCUCCUGGCAGCGUCUGGCCAUUGACUGAGCCAGGCAAGGCACCUCCUUUCUGGAAGACCGGAUCCGUGCCGAUGGACUUUGGAGUCAGACAACCGGAGCACGAGUGUUGUCUCUGCCUGGGUAGCUUCGGAGCGGCAUCUGAUCUCUCCGAGCCUCAGUUUCCCCCUCUGAGUCAUGGGAACGGUAACGUGACGGCUGAGAGGCUCCAGUGAGUCAGCAACGAAGCCCUUAGCACACUUACCUGGCACCCAUACGUCACACUCAUCCAUCGGGAGGGAGACAAAUCUGGGUCUAUUUUCCACUCUGCCGGUUUCUGGCCUCUGAGCCUGGUCUGUAAGGUGGGGAUGGACCCUGUUCUUCCCCGAGUAGGACGCCCUGAGUUAGGUGCGGAAAGCCCCGGCCAAGCCUGGCACACCAGAAGCUCGAUAGCCGGGUGGUGUCAUUACGGCCACUGCCUUGAGGGGCUGAGCCGGCCAAGUCAUCUGAGGAAGAGGUGAGCAGGGAGCUGUAGGGCAGGCGUGUCUCACCCCCAUGGGGCCCUGGUCUUGGGCUGACCAACGAAGGGAAGUCCCAGGGCUAGGAAACCGUGGCGUCCUCCUGUAGAAGCUCCCUGAUUCUGGGAUACACCACAGAUGUGGGGAGGAGGGAGGAGGAAGCCCCCUGCCUUGCUCAUUCAGUGGGCAAGAAGGGAGGGAGAAUGUACGAGAAAAAAAAAAAAAAGUCGGCCUCCCUCGUCAGACUUGAGCAGACCUCCUCCAUCAGACUGGGAGGUCCCUGGGGUGGGGAUAGGUUCCCCGUCAGUGUAGGAGUUCCUUGUGCCUUUGAGUUGCGUUCUCCCUCCUCCAUCAGAUCAGGAUCUCCCUCAGAAGGGGGCAUGUGUCACUUGUCCACGGAUUAGAUUAUCUCUAAGAGUGAGUGAUGCCUCCCCUAUCAGACUGGGAGUUGUCCCCGGGUGUGUGGGGGGGUGUCUGGGGCAUGCCUCUCUGGGGACCGGGAGGUCGCUCGAGAUGAGGCGACAUGUUCCCCUCGUCUGUCUAAGGACAUCGGUUCUCAAUUGAGGGGGGCAAUUUUGCCCCCUUCGGGGGACAUCCGGAUGAGUAUUAGACUAGAGCUUCCUGAAGAUGGUGGACAUGCCUCCGCCAUCGUUCUAAAGUUCCCUGAGCGUGAGUCUGGGUCCUGCCUCCUCUAUCGGGCUGUCGCGCUGAGUUGUGGAGCUUGAAUUGGCCGUUGUAUGGGGAGCCCUGUGAGGAUGAGAUUAAUCUUAUCCCCAGCAUUAAAUGAGAAGUAUGGAUUA